RNAcentral lists this ribosomal RNA (448 nucleotides) under uncultured bacterium. RNAcentral describes it as "bacterial SSU rRNA". It matches the Rfam family "Bacterial small subunit ribosomal RNA", at positions 337 to 797 of the family's 1533-position model. The record is from RNAcentral.
GCCUACGGGGGGCAGCAGUGGGGAAUAUUGGGCAAUGGGCGCAAGCCUGACCCAGCGACGCCGCGUGAGGGAUGAAGGCCUUCGGGUUGUAAACCUCUUUCAGUAGGGAAGAAGCGAAAGUGACGGUAACUAAAGAAGAAGCACCGGCUAACUAUGUGCCAGCAGCCGCGGUAAUCCAUAAGGUGCAAGCGUUGUACGGAAUUAUUGGGCGUAAAGAGCUCGUAGUUCGUUUGCCGCGUCGAGUGUGAAAAUCUGAGGCUCAACCUCAGACCUGCAGUCGAUACGGGCAAACUAGAGUGUGGUAGGGGAGACGGGAAUUCCUGGUGUAGCGGUGGAAUGCGCAGAUAUCAGGAGGAACACCAAUGGCGAAGGCAGGUCUCUGGGCCAUAACUGACACUGAGGAGCGAAAGCGCGGGGAGCGAACAGGAUUAGAUACCCGGGUAGUCAA